This 253-nucleotide ribosomal RNA is filed under the name uncultured bacterium. RNAcentral's name for it is "partial 16S ribosomal RNA". It matches the Rfam family "Bacterial small subunit ribosomal RNA", at positions 524 to 776 of the family's 1533-position model. The record is from RNAcentral.
UACGUAGGGUGCGAGCGUUAAUCGGAAUUACUGGGCGUAAAGCGUGCGCAGGCGGUUUUGUAAGACAGAUGUGAAAUCCCCGGGCUCAACCUGGGAACUGCGUUUGUGACUGCAAGACUCGAGUGCGGCAGAGGGGGGUGGAAUUCCACGUGUAGCAGUGAAAUGCGUAGAGAUGUGGAGGAACACCGAUGGCGAAGGCAGCCCCCUGGGUCGACACUGACGCUCAUGCACGAAAGCGUGGGGAGCAAACAGG